This 817-nucleotide ribosomal RNA is filed under the name uncultured bacterium. Its description in RNAcentral is "bacterial SSU rRNA". It matches the Rfam family "Bacterial small subunit ribosomal RNA", at positions 11 to 811 of the family's 1533-position model. The record is from RNAcentral.
GUUUGAUCCUGGCUCAGGACGAACGCUGGCGGCGUGCCUAAUACAUGCAAGUCGAGCGGAUCUUCAUUAGCUUGCUUUUGAAGAUCAGCGGCGGACGGGUGAGUAACACGUGGGCAACCUGCCUGUAAGACUGGGAUAACUUCGGGAAACCGGAGCUAAUACCGGAUAAUCCUUUCCCUCACAUGAGGGAAAGCUGAAAGACGGUUUCGGCUGUCACUUACAGAUGGGCCCGCGGCGCAUUAGCUAGUUGGUGAGGUAACGGCUCACCAAGGCAACGAUGCGUAGCCGACCUGAGAGGGUGAUCGGCCACACUGGGACUGAGACACGGCCCAGACUCCUACGGGAGGCAGCAGUAGGGAAUCUUCCGCAAUGGACGAAAGUCUGACGGAGCAACGCCGCGUGAACGAUGAAGGCUUUCGGGUCGUAAAGUUCUGUUGUCAGGGAAGAACAAGUACCGGAGUAACUGCCGGUACCUUGACGGUACCUGACCAGAAAGCCACGGCUAACUACGUGCCAGCAGCCGCGGUAAUACGUAGGUGGCAAGCGUUGUCCGGAAUUAUUGGGCGUAAAGCGCGCGCAGGCGGUUCCUUAAGUCUGAUGUGAAAGCCCCCGGCUCAACCGGGGAGGGUCAUUGGAAACCGGGGAACUUGAGUGCAGAAGAGGAGAGCGGAAUUCCACGUGUAGCGGUGAAAUGCGUAGAGAUGUGGAGGAACACCAGUGGCGAAGGCGGCUCUCUGGUCUGUAACUGACGCUGANGCGCGAAAGCGUGGGGAGCGAACAGGAUUAGAUACCCUGGUAGUCCACGCCGUAAACGAUG